UGUGCCAGCAGCCGCGGUAAUACGUAGGGUGCGAGCGUUAAUCGGAAUUACUGGGCGUAAAGCGUGCGCAGGCGGCUUUGCAAGACAGAGGUGAAAUCCCCGGGCUCAACCUGGGAACUGCCUUUGUGACUGCAAGGCUAGAGUACGGCAGAGGGGGAUGGAAUUCCGCGUGUGGCAGUGAGAUGCGUAGAUAUGCGGAGGAACACCGAUGGCGAAGGCAAUCCCCUGGGCCUGUACUGACGCUCAUGCACGAAAGCGUGGGGAGCAAACAGGAUUAGAUACCCUGGUAGUCCACGCCCUAAACGAUGUCAACUGGUUGUUGGACGGCUUGCUGUUCAGUAACGAAGCUAACGCGUGAAGUUGACCGCCUGGGGAGUACGGCCGCAAGGUUGAAACUCA
RNAcentral lists this ribosomal RNA (399 nucleotides) under uncultured bacterium. Its description in RNAcentral is "bacterial SSU rRNA". It matches the Rfam family "Bacterial small subunit ribosomal RNA", at positions 504 to 903 of the family's 1533-position model. The record is from RNAcentral.